CAGAUCAACAUCUGCAGCCACAGCACUGUGUCCAGAGCCUGCCACGGGCACCUUGAGGUCACAGCCACCAUGGGCUGGAUGGUCACCAGGGCUGUGGCCCUUCCGCAGCAUGAAUCCCUCCUUGGGCUUUAAUGCAGCUUCACAGCCUUUCCUGCCUGCGCUCCAAGUGCCAAGAGGUGCCACGGGAGCUGAUGGCAGGUGCAGCAAUACGACACCAGUGAAGAAAAACAUGGAUUGCUUUCCCAGCAAGGUACUGCUACGUGCCUACUUACGCUGAUGGACUGGUCACCAGCAGUGCAAGUGCACGUGGCUGAAGAGUAUGAUCAGACCAGGCAGAGCUUUGGCUGCUCCCUGUCUGCAGAACAGGAGUGGAAGUUGCUGCUUGAUGGGACAGAUGACAUCUCCCCAGUUUGUGCCCGUUGCCUCUGGUCCUGUCCUUGGACACCGCUGAGAAGAGCCUGGCUCCAUCAUCUCACACUCCCACCAGG
Molecule: long non-coding RNA, 488 nt
Organism: Cuculus canorus (common cuckoo)
Lineage: Eukaryota; Metazoa; Chordata; Aves; Cuculiformes; Cuculidae
Exons: 3
Source: RefSeq, a predicted model, not a curated record